GACGAACGCUGGCGGCGUGCUUAACACAUGCAAGUCGAACGGAAAGGUCUCUUCGGAGAUACUCGAGUGGCGAACGGGUGAGUAACACGUGGGCGAUCUGCCCUGCACUUCGGGAUAAGCCUGGGAAACUGGGUCUAAUACCGGAUAGGACCACGGGAUUCAUGUCCUGUGGUGGAAAGCUUUUGCGGUGUGGGAUGGGCCCGCGGCCUAUCAGCUUGUUGGUGGGGUAACGGCCUACCAAGGCGACGACGGGUAGCCGGCCUGAGAGGGUGUCCGGCCACACUGGGACUGAGAUACGGCCCAGACUCCUACGGGAGGCAGCAGUGGGGAAUAUUGCACAAUGGGCGCAAGCCUGAUGCAGCGACGCCGCGUGGGGGAUGACGGCCUUCGGGUUGUAAACCUCUUUCACCAUCGACGAAGGUUCGGGUUUUCUCGGAUUGACGGUAGGUGGAGAAGAAGCACCGGCCAACUACGUGCCAGCAGCCGCGGUAAUACGUAGGGUGCGAGCGUUGUCCGGAAUUACUGGGCGUAAAGAGCUCGUAGGUGGUUUGUCGCGUUGUUCGUGAAAUCUCACGGCUUAACUGUGAGCGUGCGGGCGAUACGGGCAGACUAGAGUACUGCAGGGGAGACUGGAAUUCCUGGUGUAGCGGUGGAAUGCGCAGAUAUCAGGAGGAACACCGGUGGCGAAGGCGGGUCUCUGGGCAGUAACUGACGCUGAGGAGCGAAAGCGUGGGGAGCGAACAGGAUUAGAUACCCUGGUAGUCCACGCCGUAAACGGUGGGUACUAGGUGUGGGUUUCCUUCCUUGGGAUCCGUGCCGUAGCUAACGCAUUAAGUACCCCGCCUGGGGGAGUACGGCCGCAAGGCUAAAACUCAAAGGAAUUGACGGGGGCCCGCACAAGCGGCGGAGCAUGUGGAUUAAUUCGAUGCAACGCGAAGAACCUUACCUGGGUUUGACAUGCACAGGACGCGUCUAGAGAUAGGCGUUCCCUUGUGGCCUGUGUGCAGGUGGUGCAUGGCUGUCGUCAGCUCGUGUCGUGAGAUGUUGGGUUAAGUCCCGCAACGAGCGCAACCCUUGUCUCAUGUUGCCAGCACGUAAUGGUGGGGACUCGUGAGAGACUGCCGGGGUCAACUCGGAGGAAGGUGGGGAUGACGUCAAGUCAUCAUGCCCCUUAUGUCCAGGGCUUCACACAUGCUACAAUGGCCGGUACAAAGGGCUGCGAUGCCGCGAGGUUAAGCGAAUCCUUUAAAGCCGGUCUCAGUUCGGAUCGGGGUCUGCAACUCGACCCCGUGAAGUCGGAGUCGCUAGUAAUCGCAGAUCAGCAACGCUGCGGUGAAUACGUUCCCGGGCCUUGUACACACCGCCCGUCACGUCAUGAAAGUCGGUAACACCCGAAGCCAGUGGCCUAACCCUUUGGGAGGGAGCUGUCGAAGGUGGGAUCGGCGAUUGGGACGAAG
This 1457-nucleotide ribosomal RNA is filed under the name Mycobacterium marinum. RNAcentral's name for it is "bacterial SSU rRNA". It matches the Rfam family "Bacterial small subunit ribosomal RNA". The record is from RNAcentral. Lineage: Bacteria; Bacillati; Actinomycetota; Actinomycetes; Mycobacteriales; Mycobacteriaceae.